GCCCCCGUAGCUCAGAGGAUAGAGCACCGGCCUCCGGAGCCGGGUGCGCAGGUUCGAGUCCUGCCGGGGGUA
RNAcentral lists this transfer RNA (72 nucleotides) under Chloroflexota bacterium. RNAcentral's name for it is "Chloroflexi bacterium (bioreactor metagenome) tRNA-Arg". It matches the Rfam family "tRNA". Rfam says of the family: Transfer RNA (tRNA) molecules are approximately 80 nucleotides in length. Their secondary structure includes four short double-helical elements and three loops (D, anti-codon, and T loops). Lineage: Bacteria; Bacillati; Chloroflexota. RNAcentral also lists the same sequence under 1 other name. The record is from RNAcentral.